AACGGAGGGGGCUAGUGUUACUCAACUUUACUGGGCGUAAAGGGCAUGUAGGCGGUUUGCUCUAUUUUUUGUAAAAUAUUCGAGCUUAACUUGAAGAAUACGAAAAUGAUUGGUGGACUAGAGUUUAUUAUAAGAAGGUGGUACUUUCAAUGUAGAGGUGAAAUUCGUAAAAAUUGAAAGGACUACCAACUGGCGAUGGCGACCUUCUACUGUAAACUGACGCUAAAGUGCGAAGGCAUGGGGAGCGAACGGG
Molecule: ribosomal RNA, 253 nt
Filed under: uncultured bacterium
Lineage: Bacteria
Description: partial 16S ribosomal RNA
Rfam family: Bacterial small subunit ribosomal RNA
Source: RNAcentral